Molecule: long non-coding RNA, 151 nt
Organism: Cotesia glomerata
Lineage: Eukaryota; Metazoa; Arthropoda; Insecta; Hymenoptera; Braconidae
Exons: 2
Source: RefSeq, a predicted model, not a curated record
GUUGAUGCUGCAGCUCAGGUUGUUAAAUUAGCCGAGUUAGUUGAUGAUGAUAAAGAUACUGUUAUAAUUUCAUUAUUACUUCCGGCUAUUAAAUCGUCAAUUUCCAGUACUGUUAAACGGAGGAAAGUAGAAAAUCAUUCAGUAGUUGAUG